CAAAUUAUGCUUAAAGUUAAGAAUUUCAUUUACACUGAAAAAAUAUUGUGCAAUUCAAUGUAAUUUGA
Molecule: transfer RNA, 68 nt
Filed under: Paranauphoeta nigra
Lineage: Eukaryota; Metazoa; Arthropoda; Insecta; Blattodea; Blaberidae
Description: tRNA-Val
Source: RNAcentral